Molecule: long non-coding RNA, 378 nt
Filed under: Mustela putorius furo (domestic ferret)
Lineage: Eukaryota; Metazoa; Chordata; Mammalia; Carnivora; Mustelidae
Description: lncRNA (ENSMPUG00000026640.1)
Source: RNAcentral
AUAUAAGAACCAUAUCUUCUUUAUCCAUUCAUCUGUUGAAAGGCAUCUUGGUUCUUUCCACAGGUUCCCACAGGUUGGCGACUGUGGCCAUUGCUGCUAUAAACAUAGGGGUACAGAUUGUUUCUAAUGCUAGCAGUGGUUCCCAGAAACUUCAGAACCGACAUUCCACCCACCACAGAUGUGGUCAGGCUGGACGUGGUUUUUCUGUUGGUAGUCAGCGCUGGACUUUGAGGGCACACCCAAACGGCGGACCAACAGAGAGCCUGGAGAAGAGAGACAAAGACAGAGAAACAGAUACCGUGACAUUUGUCCCAGUUUAGCACCACAUGUCUGUGAGUGCGCACUGCCCUCUAGUCUGAGCUAGGGAAGGAAUCAAAU